CAGCAGUCGCCGCGGGAAUACGGAGGGUGCAAGCGUUAAUCGGAAUUACUGGGCGUAAAGCGCACGCAGGCGGUCUGUCAAGUCAGAUGUGAAAUCCCCGGGCUUAACCUGGGAACUGCAUUUGAAACUGGCAGGCUAGAGUCUUGUAGAGGGGGGUAGAAUUCCAGGUGUAGCGGUGAAAUGCGUAGAGAUCUGGAGGAAUACCGGUGGCGAAGGCGGCCCCCUGGACAAAGACUGACGCUCAGGUGCGAAAGCGUGGGGAGCAAACAGGAUCAGAGACCCGCGUAGUCCCUGUCUCUUAUAC
Molecule: ribosomal RNA, 304 nt
Filed under: uncultured bacterium
Lineage: Bacteria
Description: partial 16S ribosomal RNA
Rfam family: Bacterial small subunit ribosomal RNA
Source: RNAcentral